UUGCUUCAGCAUCACUUAUACUAAAACUAGAAUGGUACAGAGAAAAUUAGCAUGGCCCCUGCACAAAAUUAGAGAUGAGAAAUGUUCUGGGUUUCA
Molecule: small nuclear RNA, 96 nt
Organism: Erinaceus europaeus (western European hedgehog)
Lineage: Eukaryota; Metazoa; Chordata; Mammalia; Eulipotyphla; Erinaceidae
Source: Ensembl